UAAUAACGGAAAACAUUACAG
This 21-nucleotide microRNA is filed under the name Panagrellus redivivus. Its description in RNAcentral is "prd-miR-7954-3p". Lineage: Eukaryota; Metazoa; Nematoda; Chromadorea; Rhabditida; Panagrolaimidae. The record is from miRBase by way of RNAcentral.